AUUGAACGCUGGCGGCAUGCCUAACACAUGCAAGUCGAGCGGAUGAAGGGAGCUUGCUCCUGGAUUCAGCGGCGGACGGGUGAGUAAUGCCUAGGAAUCUGCCUGGUAGUGGGGGAUAACGUCCGGAAACGGGCGCUAAUACCGCAUACGUCCUGAGGGAGAAAGUGGGGGAUCUUCGGACCUCACGCUAUCAGAUGAGCCUAGGUCGGAUUAGCUAGUUGGUGGGGUAAAGGCCUACCAAGGCGACGAUCCGUAACUGGUCUGAGAGGAUGAUCAGUCAAACUGGAACUGAGACACGGUCAAGACUCCUACGGGAGGCAGCAGUGGGGAAUAUUGGACAAUGGGCGAAAGCCUGAUCCAGCAAUGCCGCGUGUGUGAAGAAGGUCUUCGGAUUGUAAAGCACUUUAAGUUGGGAGGAAGGGCAGUAAGUUAAUACCUUGCUGUUUUGACGUUACCAAAAGAAUAAGCAACGGCUAACUUCGUG
Molecule: ribosomal RNA, 484 nt
Filed under: uncultured bacterium
Lineage: Bacteria
Description: partial 16S ribosomal RNA
Rfam family: Bacterial small subunit ribosomal RNA
Source: RNAcentral